This 439-nucleotide ribosomal RNA is filed under the name Allobates caeruleodactylus. RNAcentral describes it as "partial large subunit ribosomal RNA". It matches the Rfam family "Bacterial large subunit ribosomal RNA", at positions 1818 to 2469 of the family's 2925-position model. The record is from RNAcentral. Lineage: Eukaryota; Metazoa; Chordata; Amphibia; Anura; Aromobatidae.
GCCUCUUGACAAGCCAUAAGAGGUCAAGCCUGCCCAGUGACAUUGUUCAACGGCCGCGGUAUCCUAACCGUGCGAAGGUAGCGUAAUCACUUGUUCUUUAAAUGAGGACUAGUAUGAAUGGCUUCACGAAAGCUAUGCUGUCUCCUUUAUCCCAUCAGUUAAACUAAUCUCCCCGUGAAGAAGCGGGGAUACACCUAUAAGACGAGAAGACCCUAUGGAGCUUUAAACACCUUCAAACACUUGAUUCUUUAUUUAUAACUUCCAGUAAAACCUAAUUAAGCCCAUCAUUUUGUUUUAAGUUUUAGGUUGGGGUGACCACGGAGACAAAUUCAACCUCCACGUAGAAAAGGGACUUUCCUAAGCAAAAAGCUACAUCUUUAUGCAUCAACAUAUUGACUUAAAUUGACCCAAUUGCUUGAUCAACGAACCAAGUUACCCU